RNAcentral lists this transfer RNA (72 nucleotides) under Datura stramonium (jimsonweed). Its description in RNAcentral is "tRNA-Asn". It matches the Rfam family "tRNA". From Rfam's summary of the family: Transfer RNA (tRNA) molecules are approximately 80 nucleotides in length. Lineage: Eukaryota; Viridiplantae; Streptophyta; Magnoliopsida; Solanales; Solanaceae. The record is from RNAcentral.
UCCUCAGUAGCUCAGUGGUAGAGCAGUCGACUGUUAAUGGAUUGGUCGUAGGUUCGAAUCCUACUUGGAGAG